This 85-nucleotide transfer RNA is filed under the name Coriobacteriales bacterium. Its description in RNAcentral is "tRNA-Leu". It matches the Rfam family "tRNA". Rfam says of the family: Transfer RNA (tRNA) molecules are approximately 80 nucleotides in length. Their secondary structure includes four short double-helical elements and three loops (D, anti-codon, and T loops). The record is from RNAcentral. Lineage: Bacteria; Bacillati; Actinomycetota; Coriobacteriia; Coriobacteriales.
GCGGGCGUGGCGGAAUUGGCAGACGCACCAGGUUUAGGUCCUGGCGAGGCAACUCGUGGGGGUUCAAGUCCCUUCGCCCGCACCA